RNAcentral lists this ribosomal RNA (252 nucleotides) under uncultured bacterium. RNAcentral describes it as "partial 16S ribosomal RNA". It matches the Rfam family "Bacterial small subunit ribosomal RNA", at positions 524 to 776 of the family's 1533-position model. The record is from RNAcentral.
UACGGAGGAUGCGAGCGUUAUCCGGAUUUAUUGGGUUUAAAGGGUGCGUAGGCGGGAUGCCAAGUCAGCGGUAAAAAUGCGGUGCUCAACGCCGUCGAGCCGUUGAAACUGGCGUUCUUGAGUGGGCGAGAAGUAUGCGGAAUGCGUGGUGUAGCGGUGAAAUGCAUAGAUAUCACGCAGAACUCCGAUUGCGAAGGCAGCAUACCGGCGCCCUACUGACGCUGAGGCACGAAAGCGUGGGUAUCGAACCGG